GGCUUUGCCUGCUAUCUCUUACCCAUGUCUUUUGAGUACCUUCGUUUCCUCGGCGGGUCCGCCCGCCGAUUGGACAAUUUAAACCAUUUGCAGUUGCAAUCAGCGUCUGAAAAAACUUAAUAGUUACAACUUUCAACAACGGAUCUCUUGGUUCUGGCAUCGAUGAAGAACGCAGCGAAAUGCGAUAAGUAGUGUGAAUUGCAGAAUUCAGUGAAUCAUCGAAUCUUUGAACGCACAUUGCGCCCCUUGGUAUUCCAUGGGGCAUGCCUGUUCGAGCGUCAUUUGUACCUUCAAGCUCUGCUUGGUGUUGGGUGUUUGUCUCGCCUCUGCGCGUAGACUCGCCUCAAAACAAUUGGCAGCCGGCGUAUUGAUUUCGGAGCGCAGUACAUCUCGCGCUUUGCACUCAUAACGACGACGUCCAAAAGUACAUUUUUACACUCUUGACCUCGGAUCAGGUAGGGAUACCCGCUGAACUUAAGCAUAUCAAUAAGCGGAGGA
Molecule: ribosomal RNA, 498 nt
Filed under: Didymella glomerata
Lineage: Eukaryota; Fungi; Ascomycota; Dothideomycetes; Pleosporales; Didymellaceae
Description: eukaryotic LSU rRNA
Rfam family: 5.8S ribosomal RNA (bases 128-281)
Source: RNAcentral